Molecule: long non-coding RNA, 782 nt
Organism: Vitis vinifera (wine grape)
Lineage: Eukaryota; Viridiplantae; Streptophyta; Magnoliopsida; Vitales; Vitaceae
Exons: 2
Source: RefSeq, a predicted model, not a curated record
CUCUAAUGGGCUGCCUAAAGGACAAAAUUUUGGACUUGGAAGAUGAUACUCUUAUCGCAUUACCACAUACUAACAUGGCAGGUUAGCAUUUUCCUGAGACCAAACUGGCAUGGAAGAUGCUUCUGUGACACUCAGACCCAAGAGCAGGUAGAUCCAGAGGCAUCACAGAAUGGUAACAACUAACAAAGUAUGGUCAUGAUCUUAUUGAUUCUUGGCCUAGGUGAGGUGGGGUUGGGACAAUUGGAGUGGAUUUCUAGUGUUCUCAUUUCUUGAGAGGUUUCUCGGGAGCCAAACGGACCUGAGUGAAGUACUGAAGAGCCCGUUCGAAGUCGCCCUGAGCUUGCAACUCUCUACCUUUCUCCAACAAACUGACGGCCUCGGAGACUCUCUGAGAGACGUCAGCGCUUGCGUCUCUUUCAUUUGGAGAGACGGGGUCGAAGGUGGGAAGAGCAGAGGAGGAAGUGGGAGGGGGAAGAAGAACAACAAGAAGACUGGAUGUGGAAAUCAACAAACCCCGUCUGUUUGGAGAACUGGGGUUUAAUUUUUGACGGAUUGGGAUUGGGGUUUUGCAGUUUGGGGGUGUGGGCAGGAGGAAACAGGAUAUGGGUGGAACCUUACAGGCACCCAUUUUUCUUUGUUAUUUUGGGUUUUUUUUCUUGAGUUUUGUCAGUUGGCUGCGACAGAUUUUGUCCAUUCAAAAGAAAAAUCAUUAGCUGUACUUAUCCUACUUUAUCACACUUCUUUCAAUAAUUUGAUAUGAACACCCAAUUUUUCUUUGGAUC